UAGUCCACGCCGUAAACGAUGUCUACUAGCCGUUGGGGUCCUUGAGGCCUUAGUGGCGCAGCUAACGCACUAAGUAGACCGCCUGGGGAGUACGGCCGCAAGGUUAAAACUCAAAUGAAUUGACGGGGCCCGCACAAGCGGUGGAGCAUGUGGCUUAAUUCGAAGCAACGCGAAGAACCUUACCAGGUCUUGACAUCCAGAAAACUUAGCAGAGAUGCUUUGGUGCCUUCGGGAAUUCUGAGACAGGUGCUGCAUGGCUGUCGUCAGCUCGUGUCGUGAGAUGUUGGGUUAAGUCCCGUAACGAGCGCAACCCUUGUCCUUAGUUGCCAUCAGUUUGGCUGGGAACUCUAAGGAGACUGCCGGUGACAAACCGGGAGGAAGGUAAGGAUGACGUCAAGUCAGCAUGCCCCUUAUGCUCUGGGGCUACACACGUGCUACAAUGGUCGUGACAAAGAGUUGCUACUCUGUGAAGACAAGCUAAUCU
RNAcentral lists this ribosomal RNA (484 nucleotides) under uncultured bacterium. RNAcentral describes it as "bacterial SSU rRNA". It matches the Rfam family "Bacterial small subunit ribosomal RNA", at positions 791 to 1274 of the family's 1533-position model. The record is from RNAcentral.